GAGGGGAUAGUUUAAAAUAAGUAACGUUUGCUUGUCAAGUAAAAAGUACCUUUUAGGUUCUUCUCU
This 66-nucleotide transfer RNA is filed under the name Ibidoecus plataleae. RNAcentral describes it as "tRNA-Asp". Lineage: Eukaryota; Metazoa; Arthropoda; Insecta; Psocodea; Philopteridae. The record is from RNAcentral.